UGUGGGAGCGAGCCUGCUCGCGAAGGCGUCGGCACUUUCAAUACAUUCAGUGCCUGAUCCACCGCUAUCGCGAGCAGGCUCGCUCCCACC
RNAcentral lists this non-coding RNA (90 nucleotides) under Pseudomonas baetica. The record is from RNAcentral. Lineage: Bacteria; Pseudomonadati; Pseudomonadota; Gammaproteobacteria; Pseudomonadales; Pseudomonadaceae.